RNAcentral lists this ribosomal RNA (458 nucleotides) under uncultured bacterium. RNAcentral describes it as "partial 16S ribosomal RNA". It matches the Rfam family "Bacterial small subunit ribosomal RNA", at positions 338 to 795 of the family's 1533-position model. The record is from RNAcentral.
CCUACGGGUGGCAGCAGUGGGGAAUAUUGCACAAUGGGGGAAACCCUGAUGCAGCGACGCCGCGUGAGUGACGAAGUAUUUCGGUACGUAAAGCUCUAUCAGCAGGGAAGAAAAACCGGCCUUAGGGCCGCCAGACGGUACCUGACUAAGAAGACCCGGCUAACUACGUGCCAGCAGCAGCGGUAAUAAGUAGGGGGCAAGCGUUAUCCGGAUUUACUGGGUGUAAAGGGUGCGUAGACGGCAGCGCAAGUCUGGAGUGAAAUGCCGGGGCCCAACCCCUGAACUGCUUUGGAAACUGUGCAGCUGGAGUGCAGGAGAGGUAAGCGGAAUUCCUAGUGUAGCGGUGAAAUGCUUAGAUAUUAGGAGGAACACCAGUGGCGAAGGCGGCUUACUGGACUGUAACUGACGUUGAGGCUCGAAAGCGUGGGGAGCAAACAGGAUUAGAUACCCUUGUAGUC